GAUGAACGCUGGCGGCGUGCCUAAUACAUGCAAGUCGAGCGAACGGACGAGAAGCUUGCUUCUCUGAUGUUAGCGGCGGACGGGCGAGUAACACGUGGAUAACUUACCUAUAAGACUGGGAUAACUUCGGGAAACCGGAGCUAAUACCGGAUAAUAUUUUGAACCGCAUGGUUCAAAAGUGAAAGACGGUCUUGCUGUCACUUAUAGAUGGAUCCGCGCUGCAUUAGCUAGUUGGUAAGGUAACGGCUUACCAAGGCAACGAUGCAUAGCCGACCUGAGAAGGUGAUCGGCCACACUGGAACUGAGACACGGUCCAGACUCCUACGGGAGGCAGCAGUAGGGAAUCUUCCGCAAUGGGCGAAAGCCUGACGGAGCAACGCCGCGUGAGUGAUGAAGGUCUUCGGAUCGUAAAACUCUGUUAUUAGGGAAGAACAUAUGUGUAAGUAACUGUGCACAUCUUGACGGUACCUAAUCAGAAAGCCACGGCUAACUACGUG
RNAcentral lists this ribosomal RNA (497 nucleotides) under uncultured bacterium. RNAcentral describes it as "partial 16S ribosomal RNA". It matches the Rfam family "Bacterial small subunit ribosomal RNA", at positions 28 to 507 of the family's 1533-position model. The record is from RNAcentral.